This 253-nucleotide ribosomal RNA is filed under the name uncultured bacterium. RNAcentral's name for it is "partial 16S ribosomal RNA". It matches the Rfam family "Bacterial small subunit ribosomal RNA", at positions 524 to 776 of the family's 1533-position model. The record is from RNAcentral.
UACGUAGGGGGCAAGCGUUAUCCGGAUUUACUGGGUGUAAAGGGAGCGUAGACGGCGCGGCAAGUCUGAAGUGAAAGCCCGGGGCUUAACCCCGGGACUGCUUUGGAAACUGCCAUGCUGGAGUGCUGGAGAGGUAAGUGGAAUUCCUAGUGUAGCGGUGAAAUGCGUAGAUAUUAGGAGGAACACCAGUGGCGAAGGCGGCUUACUGGACAGUAACUGACGUUGAGGCUCGAAAGCGUGGGGAGCAAACAGG